Molecule: ribosomal RNA, 421 nt
Filed under: uncultured bacterium
Lineage: Bacteria
Description: bacterial SSU rRNA
Rfam family: Bacterial small subunit ribosomal RNA
Source: RNAcentral
UGAGGAAUAUUGGGCAAUGCCCGCAAGGGUGACCCAGCAACGCCGCGUGGAGGAUGAAUGUCGUAAGAUUGUAAACUCCUGUUAGAGGGGAAGAAUAGUACCGGUUGGACCGGCAUAUGACUGUACCCUCAGAGAAGCCCCGGCUAACUACGUGCCAGCAGCCGCGGCAAUACGUAGGGGGCAAGCGUUGUCCGGAUUUACUGGGUGUAAAGGGCGCGCAGGCGGGAUAAAAAGUCAGUGGUGAAAUCCUACAGCUUAACUGUAGAACUGCCUUUGAUACGUUUAUGCUUGAGUUCGGGAGAGAGUGACGGAAUUCCAGGUGUAGUGGUGAAAUACGUAGAUAUCUGGAAGAACACCAGUUGCGAAGGCGGUCUCUUGGUCCGACACUGACGCUGAGGCGCGAAAGCGUGGGGAGCAAACA